AGCUCCACGUCAGGGCCCCCACUCCCCAGCCUCUCUCCUAAAGCGGGUGUCGCAGGUUCGAAUCCUGCCGGGG
This 73-nucleotide transfer RNA is filed under the name Streptomyces alkaliphilus. RNAcentral's name for it is "tRNA-Arg". Lineage: Bacteria; Bacillati; Actinomycetota; Actinomycetes; Kitasatosporales; Streptomycetaceae. The record is from RNAcentral.